UUGAAUUUAUUUUUUAAAUGUUUAUAUUAUUUGAAUAAAACAUUCAAAUAAUAUAAAAAAUAAUAUAUAUAUUGACAUGGAUUAAACAAAGAUAUAUAUUAUUCUAUGUUGUAUGAACAAAUUGGCAAAAUAGAGAUGGAAGAUAAAAAUAUGGUCAAAGUAAUAAGAGUCUAUGGUGAAUGCCUAGGAGCUUUAAGGCGAAGAAGGUCGUGGUAAGCUGCGAAAAGCUUGGGGGA
RNAcentral lists this unclassified non-coding RNA (236 nucleotides) under uncultured Borrelia sp. RNAcentral's name for it is "partial contains 5S-23S ribosomal RNA intergenic spacer and 23S ribosomal RNA". The stretch from base 153 to 236 matches the Rfam family "Bacterial large subunit ribosomal RNA", at positions 1 to 84 of the family's 2925-position model. Lineage: Bacteria; Pseudomonadati; Spirochaetota; Spirochaetia; Spirochaetales; Borreliaceae. The record is from RNAcentral.